RNAcentral lists this ribosomal RNA (388 nucleotides) under uncultured Glomeromycotina. Its description in RNAcentral is "SSU rRNA". It matches the Rfam family "Eukaryotic small subunit ribosomal RNA", at positions 569 to 962 of the family's 1831-position model. Lineage: Eukaryota; Fungi; Glomeromycota. The record is from RNAcentral.
AGCAGCCGCGGUAAUUCCAGCUCCAAUAGCGUAUAUUAAAGUUGUUGCAGUUAAAAAGCUCGUAGUUGAAUUUCGGAAUCAAUGGAUCGGUCAUGCCACUCGGUGUGUACUGGUUUGAUUGGUUCUCACCUUCUAAGGAACCGUGAUGUCAUUAAUUUGGUGUCGCGGGGAAUUAGGACUGUUACCUUGAAAAAAUUGAGUGUUUAAAGCAAGCUCACGCUUGAAUACAUUAGCAUGGAAUAAUGAAAUAGGACAUUGUAUUCUAUUUUGUUGGUUUCUAGGAUCGAUGUAAUGAUUAAUAGGGAUAGUUGGGGGCAUUAGUAUUCAAUUGUCAGAGGUGAAAUUCUUGGAUUUAUGAAGACUAACUACUGCGAAAGCAUUUGCCAAG